GCCUAGGUGGCUCAGUUGAUGGAGCGUCUGACUUCAGCUCAGGUCAUGAUCUCAUAGUUCGUGGGUUCAAGCCCCAAGUUGGGCU
RNAcentral lists this transfer RNA (85 nucleotides) under Felis catus (domestic cat). It matches the Rfam family "tRNA". Rfam says of the family: Transfer RNA (tRNA) molecules are approximately 80 nucleotides in length. The record is from Rfam by way of RNAcentral. Lineage: Eukaryota; Metazoa; Chordata; Mammalia; Carnivora; Felidae.